RNAcentral lists this ribosomal RNA (253 nucleotides) under uncultured prokaryote. RNAcentral's name for it is "partial 16S ribosomal RNA". It matches the Rfam family "Bacterial small subunit ribosomal RNA", at positions 524 to 776 of the family's 1533-position model. The record is from RNAcentral.
UACGGAGGAUGCAAGCGUUAUCCGGAAUUAUUGGGCGUAAAGCGUCCGCAGGUGGUUUUUCAAGUCUAUUGUCAAAGUGCGAGGCUAAACUUCGUAAAGGCAGUGGAAACUGAGAGACUAGAGUUUGGUAGGGGUAGAGGGAAUUCCCAGUGUAGCGGUGAAAUGCGUAGAUAUUGGGAAGAACACCGGUGGCGAAAGCGCUCUACUGGGCCUGAACUGACACUGAGGGACGAGAGCUAGGGGAGCGAAAGGG